CUUCAAGAUAAGGAGGUGGUUUCAGAAUCUUGACAACAAUCCAACCAAGAAUUCCUCCGAUUAAGAAUAAAAGGGUUUUUUUUUACCAUGAGAUCAUGUCCUCAAGUGUGACUGUCUGAGCCAGAUUUGCAAACAUGAGAGCCGGUGCAAAUAAGAUCGAAAUAUCGGGUCAAGAUAUUGGUUUUACCUUGUUCAUGGAAUUGCGAGCUUCGACAGGGAAGAGCUUGCAUCUAUCAGUGGCCAAGAAAGCUCCAACAACACUUAUGAAGAGAACUUGAAUCACUGGCAUAGAAGCCACCUCCAACAAUGACCAAAAACCCAUCUUUUAUGAAACUUUUUUUUUUAUUGAACUUUUAUGGAUAACUAUGAGUCAAGUGGUCGGAUCUUGUUUCUCUUCUUCUUUUUUUGCAGUUAAUCUGCAGAGAAAACUAUAAGCUUGAGAAGAGAAAAGGUUCGAGAUAAGCAAAAUAUAUAUACGUACAAUAUUUACUUCCUCGCCUAAAGUUCUGACUCUGACAGAAGCGGUGAUAAUUAUAUUUAAAACUCAUAAAACAUGCCAGAGUUUCGAGUCUUUUGAGGCCUGUGUCAUUGGAGAAGGAAUAGCUUCUUCUACUUCUCAUGUUGAAACUGAAUUACUUUUGUUUCCAUUCAAAUAUGAUUUUUGUUUUGACCACGGUCAUAGAUACCAAAUAUAUAUUGUAUUACUCUUCUAUGUUAUAUUUUAUUCCAUUUA
Molecule: long non-coding RNA, 733 nt
Organism: Brassica rapa (field mustard)
Lineage: Eukaryota; Viridiplantae; Streptophyta; Magnoliopsida; Brassicales; Brassicaceae
Source: RefSeq, a predicted model, not a curated record